CAGGCAUCGUGGUGCCCUGCAAGGAGGGCCAGCUGCGCGUCGGGGAGCUCACGCAGCAGGCGCUGCAGCGGUACCUGAAGACCCGGGAGAAGGAUCCUGGCUACUGGGUGAAGAUUCAUCACUUAGAAUACACAGAUGGAGGAAUCCUGGAUCCAGAUGAUGUUUUGGCAGAUGUCGUUGAAGACAAAGAUAAGGUGUCCUAGGAAUUCACGCAGGAAAGAUACCGGUGAUCUUGGGGAAUCUUGCUGUGUCCUUAACCUGGAAGACGCUCAGUACAAUGAAGUCACUUCUGAAGGAAUCAGAAGCCAGCUAGUGCACUGGUGAAAUUCUGGAUUUGUGAGCAUCAAAAAAAGAAGAGACUAUAAAAGAUUGUAACAUAUUGAAUAAAAAGGAGAAAGCGAUAUUGAGAAAGCGAUAC
RNAcentral lists this long non-coding RNA (418 nucleotides) under Ursus maritimus (polar bear). RNAcentral describes it as "lncRNA (ENSUMAG00000022234.1)". Lineage: Eukaryota; Metazoa; Chordata; Mammalia; Carnivora; Ursidae. The record is from RNAcentral.